This 114-nucleotide ribosomal RNA is filed under the name Acanthosepion pharaonis. Lineage: Eukaryota; Metazoa; Mollusca; Cephalopoda; Sepiida; Sepiidae. The record is from RNAcentral.
UUACGGUCAUAUCACGUUGAAACACCGAUUCCCUUACGAUCAGCGAAGUUAAGCAACGUCGAGCCUGGUCAGUACCUAGAUGGGUGAUCACUUGGGAAUACCAGGUGUUGUAAG